GUGCUUGCACCCAGGCGUCGAGCGGCGGACGGGUGAGUAAUGCAUAGGAAUCUGCCCAGUAGUGGGGGAUAGCCCGGGGAAACCCGGAUUAAUACCGCAUACGCCCUUUGGGGGAAAGCAGGGGAUCUUCGGACCUUGCGCUAUUGGAUGAGCCUAUGUCGGAUUAGCUUGUUGGUGGGGUAACGGCUCACCAAGGCAACGAUCCGUAGCUGGUCUGAGAGGAUGAUCAGCCACAUCGGGACUGAGACACGGCCCGAACUCCUACGGGAGGCAGCAGUGGGGAAUAUUGGACAAUGGGGGCAACCCUGAUCCAGCCAUGCCGCGUGUGUGAAGAAGGCUUUCGGGUUGUAAAGCACUUUCAGUGAGGAGGAAAACCUUACGACUAAUACUCGUGAGGCUUGACGUUACUCACAGAAGAAGCACCGGCUAACUCCGUGCCAGCAGCCGCGGUAAUACGGAGGGUGCAAGCGUUAAUCGGAAUUACUGGGCGUAAAGCGCGCGUAGGUGGUUUGAUAAGCGAGAUGUGAAAGCCCCGGGCUUAACCUGGGAACGGCAUUUCGAACUGUCAGGCUAGAGUGUGGUAGAGGGUAGUGGAAUUUCCUGUGUAGCGGUGAAAUGCGUAGA
Molecule: ribosomal RNA, 624 nt
Filed under: Marinobacter bryozoorum
Lineage: Bacteria; Pseudomonadati; Pseudomonadota; Gammaproteobacteria; Pseudomonadales; Marinobacteraceae
Description: bacterial SSU rRNA
Rfam family: Bacterial small subunit ribosomal RNA
Source: RNAcentral